RNAcentral lists this long non-coding RNA (1175 nucleotides) under Homo sapiens (human). RNAcentral's name for it is "HSALNT0229419". The record is from RNAcentral. Lineage: Eukaryota; Metazoa; Chordata; Mammalia; Primates; Hominidae.
AGGCUGGGCGUGGUGGCUCAUACCUGUAAUCCCAGCCCUUUUUUUUUGUUUGUUUAAUUUUACUUUAAGUUCUAGGGUACAUGUGCACAACAUGCAGGUUUGUUACAUAUGUAUACAUGUGCCAUGUUGGUGAGCUACACCCAUUAACUCGUCAUUUACAUUAGGUAUAUCUCCUAAUGCUAUCCCUCCCCUCUCCCCCCACCCCACCACAGGCCUCUGUUUUUUUAAUUUUUGAGAAAGGGUCUCACUCUGUUGCCCAGGCUGAAGUGCAGUGUCGCAAUCAUGACUCACUGCAACCUCAGCCUCCUGGGCUCAAGCAAUCCUCCCACCUCAGUGCCCCGAGUAGCUGGGACUACAGGCACAAACUAGCAUGCCUGGCUAAUUUUUGUAUUUUUUGUAGAGACGGGGUCUCACCAUGUUGCCCAGGCUGGUCUUGAACUCCUGAGCUCAAGCAAUCCUCCCGUCUCAGCCUCCCAAAGUGCUGGGAUUACAGGCAUGAGCCACCACACCCGGCCCUUAAUCGUAGUAAUAAAUAUUUACGCUGGAUCAGACUCUGAGCUGGGCUCUGGAAAUACAGAAAUUAAUCAAACACAAAGCCUGCCACCGGGAGCUCACAGUCCAAUGAAGAGGGCGGCUGUGGCAAUAGUUAGGAUGCAGUAUGGGAAGAGGUACAGGAGAGGACCCUUCCUGGGCUUGGAUAUCCCAGAGGAAGGAGCCCUCACUCUGCCUGCCUGGCCAGGCAGGAGAGGACAGUGGUAGACAGUGAAGGAGGGAAAGAUGCAUGAGUUAACAGGACCAGUGUGAGCAGCGGAAGAGCAGCUGGCGUGGCUGUGGCAUGGUGGAAUAUGUUGGAGGGACUGGAACAGUGAAGGCGCCCAAGGAGAGACACUGGAAAGGAGGCAGUGGGUGGCUCCCAGGGCCUUGAAUGUGACGCCAAGAGGUUUGGAACUUAUUCUACAGGUCAGCAGGAGAUGGAGGUGAUGUUGGAUAGAACAUAGAUUUUUUUUUUUUUUUUUUUUUUUUUAAGGGAGUCAGGUUCGGGCGCUGUGGCUCAUACCUGUAAUCCCAGCACUUUGGGAGGCCGAGGUGGGCAGAUCAUCUAGGUCAGGAGUUCCCCGCUUGCACGGACGCCCCCUCACGUACCAGCCCCCGGCCGCCGCCGCCGCUCAUCGUCG